RNAcentral lists this ribosomal RNA (842 nucleotides) under Pseudocercospora palleobrunnea. RNAcentral's name for it is "LSU rRNA". It matches the Rfam family "Eukaryotic large subunit ribosomal RNA", at positions 38 to 911 of the family's 3401-position model. Lineage: Eukaryota; Fungi; Ascomycota; Dothideomycetes; Mycosphaerellales; Mycosphaerellaceae. The record is from RNAcentral.
GCAUAUCAAUAGCGGAGGAAAAGAAACCCACCGGGAUUGCCCUAGUAACGGCGAGUGAAAGCGGCAACAGCUCAAAUUUGAAAUCUGGCGCAAGCCCGAGUUGUAAUUUGUAGAGGAUGCUUCUGGGUAGCGGCCGGUCUAAGUUCCUUGGAACAGGACGUCAUAGAGGGUGAGAAUCCCCGUAUGUGACUGGCUUGCACCCUCCACGUAGCUCCUUCGACGAGUCGAGUUGUUUGGGAAUGCAGCUCUAAAUGGGAGGUAAAUUUCUUCUAAAGCUAAAUACCGGCCAGAGACCGAUAGCGCACAAGUAGAGUGAUCGAAAGAUGAAAAGCACUUUGGAAAGAGAGUUAAAAAGCACGUGAAAUUGUUGAAAGGGAAGCGCCCGCAACCAGACUUUGCGGCAGUGUUCGGCCGGUCUUCUGACCGGUUUACUCGCUGUCGUGAGGCCAUCAUCGUCUGGGACCGCUGGAUAAGACCUUAGGAAUGUAGCUCCCCUCGGGGAGUGUUAUAGCCUCUGGUGAUGCAGCGCGUCUCGGGCGAGGUCCGCGCUUCGGCAAGGAUGAUGGCGUAAUGGUUGUCGGCGGCCCGUCUUGAAACACGGACCAAGGAGUCUAACAUCUAUGCGAGUGUUCGGGUGUCAAACCCCUACGCGUAAUGAAAGUGAACGGAGGUGGGAACUUUUUGUGCACCAUCGACCGAUCCUGAUGUCCUCGGAUGGAUUUGAGUAAGAGCAUAGCUGUUGGGACCCGAAAGAUGGUGAACUAUGCCUGAAUAGGGUGAAGCCAGAGGAAACUCUGGUGGAGGCUCGCAGCGGUUCUGACGUGCAAAUCGAUCGUCAAAUU